Molecule: ribosomal RNA, 305 nt
Filed under: uncultured bacterium
Lineage: Bacteria
Description: bacterial SSU rRNA
Rfam family: Bacterial small subunit ribosomal RNA
Source: RNAcentral
UCCUACGGGGGGCAGCAGUGAGGAAUAUUGGUCAAUGGUCGGGAGACUGAACCAGCCGAGCCGCGUGAGGGAUGAAGGUACAGAGUAUCGUAAACCUCUUUUGUCAGGGAACAAAGGCGGGGACGUGUCCCCGGAUGAGUGUACCUGAAGAAAAAGCAUCGGCUAACUCCGUGCCAGCAGCCGCGGUAAUACGGAGGAUGCGAGCGUUAUCCGGAUUUAUUGGGUUUAAAGGGUGCGCAGGCGGUCUGUUAAGUCAGCGGUCAAAGCCCGGGGCUCAACCCCGGCCCGCCGUUGAAACUGGCAGU